UACGUAGGGGGCAAGCGUUGUUCGGAAUUACUGGGCGUAAAGGGCGCGUAGGCGGUCCUUUAAGUCUGAUGUGAAAUCCCCCGGCUCAACCGGGGAGGUGCAUCGGAUACUGGGGGACUUGAGUACGGGAGAGGAAAGUGGAAUUCCAGGUGUAGCGGUGAAAUGCGUAGAUAUCUGGAGGAACACCGGUGGCGAAGGCGGCUUUCUGGACCGUAACUGACGCUGAGGCGCGAAAGCGUGGGGAGCAAACAGG
RNAcentral lists this ribosomal RNA (253 nucleotides) under uncultured bacterium. RNAcentral describes it as "partial 16S ribosomal RNA". It matches the Rfam family "Bacterial small subunit ribosomal RNA", at positions 524 to 776 of the family's 1533-position model. The record is from RNAcentral.